RNAcentral lists this long non-coding RNA (452 nucleotides) under Elaeis guineensis (African oil palm). Its description in RNAcentral is "long non-coding RNA (EGUI_LNC008138)". Lineage: Eukaryota; Viridiplantae; Streptophyta; Magnoliopsida; Arecales; Arecaceae. The record is from RNAcentral.
GCCCAGAGGUCCUCAACAUAGAAAGCCACCUGGCCCGGGGGUGGGUUGUUAACCCGACCAUCGGCCCCAGGGGCGAACGUCGAAACUGCUUCGGGAUGCUGUACUGCUCCCGGAGCUGAUCGAUGUUCGAAUCCGAAAGUGAAGAGACCUCCACCUCCGAGGUCGAUCGAGAAUCAUCGGUCGGGUUCCCCGACCGACUUCCUCGUGGGGAAGUUCUGGCCAUGAUGCUAGAACCAAGGUCGAAGGAUGAAGAAGAAGAAGAAGGAAGAAAAUUCCAAGGAAGCAAAGAGAAAAUGAGAAGACAAAGACGAAGGCUCCUGGAAAACUUUCUAAGGAGGGAGGCGGGGACAACUACCUGAGAUAAAGGGGGAUCACUCGACCAGAGUCUCGGCAACAGGGCUACGAAAAGUGGAGUUUUGGAUGCAGGUGGUCCUAUAUAUAUAAUGCCCCUC